GCGUGCUUAACACAUGCAAGUCGAGCGGAAAGGCCCUUUCGGGGGUACUCGAGCGGCGAACGGGUGAGUAACACGUGAGUAAUCUGCCUUGCACUCUGGGAUAGCCUUGGGAAACUGAGAUUAAUACCGGAUAUGACAUGUGCCUGCAUGGGUGUGUGUGGAAAGUUUUUUCGGUGCAAGAUGUGCUCGCGGCCUAUCAGCUUGUUGGUGAGGUAAUGGCUCACCAAGGCUUCGACGGGUAGCCGGCCUGAGAGGGUGACCGGCCACACUGGGACUGAGACACGGCCCAGACUCCUACGGGAGGCAGCAGUGGGGAAUAUUCGACAAUGGGCGGAAGCGUGACGCAGCAACGCCGCGUGGGGGAAGAAGGCCUUCGGGUUGUAAACCCCUUUCAGGAGGGACGAAGGUCGGGCGGUGAAUAGCCGACCCGACUGACGGUACCUCCACAAGAAGCCCCGGCUAACUACGUGCCAGCAGCCGCGGUAAUACGUAGGGGGCAAGCGUUGUCCGGAAUUAUUGGGCGUAAAGAGCUCGUAGGCGGUCUGUCGCGUCGAUCGUGAAAACUUGGGGCUUAACCCUGAGCUUGCGGUCGAUACGGGCAUGACUGGAGUUCGGCAGGGGAGACUGGAAUUCCUGGUGUAGCGGUGAAAUGCGCAGAUAUCAGGAGGAACACCGGUGGCGAAGGCGGGUCUCUGGGCCGAUACUGACGCUGAGGAGCGAAAGCGUGGGGAGCGAACAGGAUUAGAUACCCUGGUAGUCCACGCCGUAAACGUUGGGCACUAGGUGUGGGUCUCAACCAACGAGAUCCGCGCCGUCGCUAACGCAUUAAGUGCCCCGCCUGGGGAGUACGGUCGCAAGACUAAAACUCAAAUGAAUUGACGG
Molecule: ribosomal RNA, 882 nt
Filed under: uncultured bacterium
Lineage: Bacteria
Description: bacterial SSU rRNA
Rfam family: Bacterial small subunit ribosomal RNA
Source: RNAcentral